AUACGGAGGAUCCGAGCGUUAUCCGGAUUUAUUGGGUUUAAAGGGUGCGCAGGCGGGAUGUUAAGUCGGCGGUGAAAUUUUGCAGCUCAACUGUAAAAGUGCCUUCGAUACUGGCUUUCUUGAGUGUGGAUGAAGUAGGCGGAAUUUGUGGUGUAGCGGUGAAAUGCAUAGAUAUCACGAGGAACUCCGAUUGCGCAGGCAGCUUACUAAACUACUACUGACGCUCAGGCACGAAGGCGUGGGGAUCAAACAGGAUUAGAUACCCUGGUAGUCCACGCAGUAAACGAUGAUUACUAGCUGUUUGCGAUACAAUGUAAGCGGCUGAGCGAAAGCGUUAAGUAAUCCACCUGGGGAGUACGUUCGCAAGAAUGAAACUCAAAUGAAUUGACGGGG
This 393-nucleotide ribosomal RNA is filed under the name uncultured bacterium. RNAcentral's name for it is "partial 16S ribosomal RNA". It matches the Rfam family "Bacterial small subunit ribosomal RNA", at positions 523 to 918 of the family's 1533-position model. The record is from RNAcentral.